Molecule: non-coding RNA, 154 nt
Filed under: Caldifarciminota bacterium
Lineage: Bacteria; Pseudomonadati; Caldifarciminota
Description: candidate division WOR-3 bacterium (hot springs metagenome) 6S RNA
Rfam family: 6S / SsrS RNA
About the family: E. coli 6S RNA was the first non coding RNA to be sequenced, but its function was unknown until recently. It consists of 184 nucleotides that fold into an extended hairpin structure with a large single-stranded internal bulge.
Source: RNAcentral
GGUUCCCUGCGAUGUUCGUGAUGGGCAUUAAGUCUUGAGCCAACACCCAUCGUUAGGGAGCUGAGUUCAACUGCAGAAUUUUCUGUAGUUGACAGGCGCCCACCUUUACUUUGGGUUCAGAGACUUUUUCCCACACGGCAUAGGCGGGGAACUU